Long non-coding RNA from Lutra lutra (Eurasian river otter), 1466 nucleotides. RefSeq lists it as uncharacterized. The transcript has 3 exons. Lineage: Eukaryota; Metazoa; Chordata; Mammalia; Carnivora; Mustelidae. The record is from RefSeq and is a predicted model, not a curated record.
CUGACUCAUUUCCGGCAGUUUCCCGCGCCCUGGCGGGUUCCCGUCAGUCUCCUGCUCCGGCCGGCACGCUGUUCCCACGCGGACUCAAAGGAGACUUGGCAGAGAUAAGUGAAUGUCCCAGGAAUUCCGUGCACAGAAAGAAAAAAAAAAAAAAAAAAAAAAAAAGGUCAGGACCGAACAUGUGAGUCCUCUGCAAUCAAGACUUUCAGGACACUUAUACGUCCUCCUCGUUAGUAUAGUGUCUCCACGAAGACAUUCAGAGUUGCCUGCGGUGGAGCUGCGAAGAAAAUGAAACGGCUCAAAAUAAUUUUAAGAACGAGUAGCGGAAACUCUAAGCACCUCCAAUUAAGGGCAUCUAUGUUUGACGCUGGACACUGCAUCGCUUCCAUAGUGGGUGAUGUCUUAGGGUGCUGUGCCCCCCAGUCCCCUCCCUUCACCUGUACGUUUAGGAUAACAAGGUCGACCUCAUGACUCUUGGGGAGAUAUUAAUAAACGAGUCAAUGGGGAACUGGUCAGCAGUCUAUAGGACAAUAAUACUUGAAAUUAUCUUUUUCUUGUUGGGCAAAAUUUGCUUGAAUUGCUGUGGACAAAUGCCAUUUGCAUUGCUAUCAAUUAUCUACAAGUCAGCUUUUACCAUACAAAACUCUGGAAUAGUUUAGUAAAUAGAAAUUCAGUUAAAGGUGCACACUUUGAACCAAUUUCCCAAUGCCUAUUAGACAAUGUCCCUCACUUCAUGGAAAGGACACCCAGCACUUUUCUGUGGUCCAUCUGUAAGACACACGCUUUUUUCUGACACAGGUGAACCUUUACAGAAGUUGUGAUAUAGGUUUCAAACUGAGUAAAUAUGGAAGCAUUAGCAGAGAUAGGUGUGGUAAGCCAGUAUCUCUCACACUUUAAGUGUUUCAGGAUCACUUGGGUGUUUUGUCAAACGCACAUUCUCCUCCAGCAGAGAGAUGUUGGUUGUACAGGAACCAACCACCCUUGGGAAAACUCUCAAUGUACGUCAGAAUGCUGCUGUACAUUAGAGUCACCUAGAAGCUUCUAAAAUACCUGACGGAGGGUGGCAUCCCAUGCCAAGUAAAUUAGGAGGUCUGGAGGUGGAACCAGCCUCCAACAGGUGUUGAAAAUUCCCAGGUGAUCUCAAUCAUGAUCUCUGUCCUUGGUUAUUCUGAUUAUGUUAUUAACAUAUUCAAAUGUUUAUUGUAUUUAAUAUAAAAUCUAAACUAUUUGUAUAGCAUAUUUGACAGCCCCCCCGCCAGUGAUCUAGCCUAGAUCAUCAUUUACCUACCUACUCAUCAUAUAACAACAAAAAUAACUUCGUGGUUCUCCUCCAAAUCAUAUAGUCAUCACAGAAUGCCAAAGGGCGCAGUGGGGAUGGCGUGUUUUAUUUCCGUUCCGCUUUGCCUUUAGACACUUUAGGUGGUACAUGAGGGGUAACAGAGAGGAAAGCAAAGAAGAGAGAAGAG